Molecule: ribosomal RNA, 468 nt
Filed under: uncultured bacterium
Lineage: Bacteria
Description: partial 16S ribosomal RNA
Rfam family: Bacterial small subunit ribosomal RNA
Source: RNAcentral
GACGAACGCUGGCGGCGUGCUUAACACAUGCAAGUCGAACGGAAAGGCCCUGCUUUUGUGGGGUGCUCGAGUGGCGAACGGGUGAGUAACACGUGAGUAACCUGCCCUUGACUUUGGGAUAACUUCAGGAAACUGGGGCUAAUACCGGAUAGGAGCUCCUGCUGCAUGGUGGGGGUUGGAAAGUUUCGGCGGUUGGGGAUGGACUCGCGGCUUAUCCGCUUGUUGGUGGGGUAGUGGCUUUCCAAGGCUUUGACGGGUAGCCGGCCUGAGAGGGUGACCGGCCACAUUGGGACUGAGAUACGGCCCAGACUCCUACGGGAGGCAGCAGUGGGGAAUAUUGCACAAUGGGCGGAAGCCUGAUGCAGCAACGCCGCGUGCGGGAUGACGGCCUUCGGGUUGUAAACCGCUUUCGCCUGUGACGAAGCGUGAGUGACGGUAAUGGGUAAAGAAGCACCGGCUAACUACGUG